AAAUGAAUUGACGGGGGCCCGCACAAGCGGUGGAGCAUGUGGUUUAAUUCGACGCAACGCGAAGAACCUUACCAGGAUUUGACAUCCCCUGACCGCCGUGGAAACACGGUCUUUUGCCUUCGGGUAAACAGGGAGACAGGUGGUGCAUGGUUGUCGUCAGCUCGUGUCGUGAGAUGUUGGGUUAAGUCCCGCAACGAGCGCAACCCUUACGAUUAGUUGCCAGCGGGUUAUGCCGGGCACUCUAGUCGAACUGCCGUUGACAAAACGGAGGAAGGUGGGGAUGACGUCAAAUCAUCAUGCCCUUUAUGUUCUGGGCUACACACGCGCUACAAUGGCCGGUACAAAGGGCGGCGAACCCGCGAGGGGGAGCGAAUCCCAAAAAGCCGGUCUCAGUUCGGAUUGCAGGCUGCAACUCGCCUGCAUGAAGGCGGAAUCGCUAGUAAUCACAGGUCAGCACACUGUGGUGAAUACGUUCCCGGGCCUUGUACACACCGCCCGU
Molecule: ribosomal RNA, 499 nt
Filed under: uncultured bacterium
Lineage: Bacteria
Description: bacterial SSU rRNA
Rfam family: Bacterial small subunit ribosomal RNA
Source: RNAcentral